CAGUCGCCGCGGUAAAACGUAGGUCCCGAGCGUUGUCCGGAUUUAUUGGGCGUAAAGCGAGCGCAGGCGGUUAGAUAAGUCUGAAGUUGAAGGCUGUGGCUUAACCAUAGUACGCUUUGGAAACUGUUUAACUUGAGUGCAAGAGGGGAGAGUGGAAUUCCAUGUGUAGCGGUGAAAUGCGUAGAUAUAUGGAGGAACACCGGUGGCGAAAGCGGCUCUCUGGCUUGUAACUGACGCUGAGGCUCGAAAGCGUGGGGAGCAAACAGGAUUAGAUACCCCAGUAGUCCCUGUCUCUUAUACA
Molecule: ribosomal RNA, 301 nt
Filed under: uncultured bacterium
Lineage: Bacteria
Description: partial 16S ribosomal RNA
Rfam family: Bacterial small subunit ribosomal RNA
Source: RNAcentral